Molecule: long non-coding RNA, 700 nt
Filed under: Salmo salar (Atlantic salmon)
Lineage: Eukaryota; Metazoa; Chordata; Actinopteri; Salmoniformes; Salmonidae
Description: lncRNA (ENSSSAG00000102621.1)
Source: RNAcentral
GACUGUAGGUGGAGGUAUGGGACUGUAGGUGGAGGUAAAGAGGUAUGGGACUGUAGGUGGAGGUAUAGAGGUAUGGGACUGUAGGUGGAGGUAUAGAGGUAUGGGACUGUAGGUGGAGGUAUAGAGAUAUGGGACUGUAGGUGGAGGUAUAGAGAUAUGGGACUGUAGGUGGAGGUAUAGAGGUAUGGGACUGUAGGUGGAGGUAUAGAGGUAUGGGACUGUAGGUGGAGGUAUAGAGGUAUGGGACUGUAGGUGGAGGUAUAGAGGUAUGGGACUGUAGGUGGAGGUAUAGAGGUAUGGGACUGUAGGUGGAGGUAUGAGACUGUAGGUGGAGGUAAAGAGGUAUGGGACUGUAGGUGGAGGUAUAGAGGUAUGAGACUGUACAACACAGGACAUACCAAUCAGCUCUUUCUCUGAAGCAGUCUGUAAUGGGAUACAGCAGCAGUCUGUAAUGGGAUACAGCAGAAGCAGUCUGUAAUGGGAUACAGCAGCAGUCUGUAAUGGGAUACAGCUGGAGAAGCAGUCUGUAAUGGGAUACAGCAGCAGUCUGUAAUGGGAUACAGCAGGAGAAGCAGUCUGUAAUGGGAUACAGCAGCAGUCUGUAAUGGGAUACAGCAGCAGUCUGUAAUGGGAUACAGCAGCAGUCUGUAAUGGGAUACAGCAGCAGUCUGUAAUGGGAUACAGCAGCAGUCUGUAAUGG